RNAcentral lists this ribosomal RNA (365 nucleotides) under uncultured eukaryote. RNAcentral describes it as "partial 18S ribosomal RNA". It matches the Rfam family "Eukaryotic small subunit ribosomal RNA", at positions 592 to 976 of the family's 1831-position model. The record is from RNAcentral.
CAAUAGCGUAUAUUAAUGUUGUUGCGGUUAAAAAGCUCGUAGUUGGACUUCUGUGUUGAACGCACUUCUCAGCACAACGUGCUUGAUGAAGUUGCAACAUCACAUUUUUCUGGAAAACGUACCUCGGUGCGCGUUCCGGAACGUUUACCUUGAAGAAAUCAGAGUGUUCCAAGCAGGCCAGCGCCUUGCAUGUUCUAGCUGGGGAUAAUAACAAAGAGUUCAGUUGCUCUCGUUGGUUUAUGUAGCUGAAUUUAAGAUUAAUAGGAACAGUUGGGGGCAUUCGUAUUUGGCCGUCAGAGGUGAAAUUCUUGGAUUGGCCAACGACGAACUACUGCGAAAGCAAUUGCCAAGGAUGUUUNCAUUGA